RNAcentral lists this ribosomal RNA (224 nucleotides) under uncultured soil bacterium. RNAcentral describes it as "partial 16S ribosomal RNA". It matches the Rfam family "Bacterial small subunit ribosomal RNA", at positions 26 to 252 of the family's 1533-position model. The record is from RNAcentral.
AGAUUGAACGCUGGCGGCAUGCCUUACACAUGCAAGUCGAACGGCAGCACGGACUUCGGUCUGGUGGCGAGUGGCGAACGGGUGAGUAAUAUAUCGGAACGUACCCUAGAGUGGGGGAUAACGCAGCGAAAGUUGCGCUAAUACCGCAUACGAUCUACGGAUGAAAGUGGGGGCUCGCAAGACCUCAUGCUCGUGGAGCGGCCGAUAUCUGAUUAGCUAGUUGG